This is a long non-coding RNA of Homo sapiens (human), 363 nucleotides long. RefSeq lists it as uncharacterized. NCBI's taxonomy places the organism in Eukaryota, Metazoa, Chordata, Mammalia, Primates, Hominidae. The record is from RefSeq and is a predicted model, not a curated record. The transcript is spliced from 3 exons.
UCUCAGUCCUUGAAGAGACCUGGUUAUCUUGCAACUGGACAAGGUUGGAUGCUGAAAACAGAAAGUUGUUUGAAAAUCUUUAGACCACCAGAAGGCCAGCUCCAACUCACCCUGACUACUGCUCUCAUCCUCUACUUAAGCUCAUUUGCUUCAAUCACCUGGCUUAUAUGGAGAAGGACACAAAACAACAUUUGGCGUCACUCAACUCCAGUGAUAAAAGUUAUUCCCCAAACCCCAGCUGAAUGGAUUCUAUUGGUCUGAAGGAUGGACAGAUGAGACUCUAUAUAAUGCACAGGAAGACAUGAAUACAUGGAACUACUAAUUCAGCAUUACUUUCAGAAAUGAUAGAAGCAUGUAACAGGG